UUCAAGUGUCUUUUUCACUAGUUCAUCAACAAGAUUCAAAGUUUGAUCAAGACUGUAUGGAUUUUGAACAUUAAAACAACAAAAGAAUCAAUCUUUGUUUCUGGGUAACAACCAAGUUUCAGUCUUUUUCAUUUAUAAUCAAGAAUAUUGGGCUUUUGCGUAUAGGAACAUGAAAAAUCUGAUGCUAUUCAAGUGUUUGGUCACUAAUUUAUCAAAAAGGUUGAAUCUUUGAUUCUGGGUGAUAAUCAAGUUGCAAUUUUUUUUACUUUUCAUCAAGGAUCAAGGGCUUUUUGGUCAUUUGAACUUGAAUUUUUAUGAUUUUCAAGUGUUUUCUCUAGUUUUCAUUAGAAAGAUUGAAUCUUUGAUUCUGGGUGUUAAUCAAGUUGCAGUCUUUUUGUAUUACCAUUAAGGUUUUUAGAGCUUUUUAUCCAUUGGAAUAUGGAGAUUUGAUGUUUUUCAAGGUUGUUGCUCAUUAGUACAUCAAAAAAACUGAUAUAUUUGAUUCUGGGUAUUGACCAUUAUGGAAAAACAGAUUAGUUUUAGGUUAGGAAAGAUGGAAAAACAGCAGAGUUUUCGGGCUUCUGCGAUGGAAAAACAAAAGAGUUUUAGGAUAGCAAUGGGAAGACAGAUGAGUUUUAAGAAACCAAAAGAAUCACCUGGAAAAAGAGGGGAUUCUAUGCUUCAUUUGGCUUGUAGGGGUGGGAAUUUAGGAAAAGUCAUUGAAAUCUUGCAAAAUCUUGGUCUCGAUGCACUAUCAAAACAAAAUCAAGAAGGGGAGACACCUCUUUAUGUUGCUGCUGAGUGUGGACAUUCUAAUAUUGUAGCUCAGUUUUUAAAACAUCUUGAUCUGCAAACUGCUUCAAUUGCUGCAAAUAAUGGCUAUGAUCCCUUUCAUAUUGCUGCAAAACAGGGUCAUUUUGAGGUUUUAAAGGAACUAUUGAGCUCUUUCCCGAAUCUGGUAAUGACUACAGAUUCAGCCAAUUCAACUGCUUUACAUACAGCAGCUUCUCAAGGACAUUUUGAUGUGGUUAACCUGCUUCUUGAUGCUGACUCAAAUCUUGCCAAGAUAGCUAGAAACAACGGUAAAACCGUGCUUCAUACUGCAGCGAGAAUGGGUCAUUUGGAAGUGGCAAAAGCUGUGUUAAACAGGGAUCCGAGUAUCAGUUUCAGGAUUGAUAAGAAAGGCCAAACUGCUUUGCACAUGGCAGUUAAGGGUCAAAAUAUGGACAUGGUGAUUGAGUUAAUCAAACCUGAUCCAACUGUUUUGAGUUUGGAAGAUAACAAGGGGAAUACAGCUCUUCAUAUUGCAACGAAGAAGAGCCGUACUAAGAUUGUGAAAUGCCUGCUGUCAUUUGAGAACAUCAACGUCAAUGCAGUUAACAAAGCGGGGGAGACGCCUCUUGACAUUGCAGAAAACUUGAAAAUUACGGAAAUGGUCAAUAUUCUAAGGGAGGCAGGAGCUAGCCACUCUAACGACUUUGGAAAACCACCAAGUGCCGCCAAACAGCUCAAGCAAACAGUGAGUGACAUAAAACAUGAUGUUCACUCCCAAAUUAGACAAACUCGUCAAACUGGAUUUAGGGUUCGCAAGAUUGCAAAGAAGGUGAAAAAGCUCCACAUAAACGGGCUUAAUAAUGCCAUCAAUUCAGCCACUGUAGUAGCUGUGCUUAUAGCCACAGUUGCUUUUGCAGCCAUUUUUACUGUACCAGGCCAAUAUGUUGAGGUGGAAAAAGAUGGGUUUUCUCUCGGCCAGGCAAAUAUAGCAAAGAACGCUGCAUUUAUUAUGUUCUUUCUGUUUGACAGCUUAGCCCUGUUCAUUUCCUUGGCGGUUGUGGUGGUUCAGACAUCUAUUGUGGUGAUUGAAGAGAAGGCUAAGAGGAAACUAAUGUUUGUGAUUAACAAGCUCAUGUGGUUGGCAUGCCUAUUUAUAUCUAUUUCAUUUAUUUCACUUACUUAUGUGGUUGUGGGGGCCCACGAGAGGUGGCUUGCCAUUUAUGCCUCUGUGGUUGGUGCCACAAUUAUGCUUACUACAAUUGGGUCGAUGUGUUAUUGUGUUGUAAGGCAUAGGAUGGAGGAGACUAAGAUGAGGAGUAUAAGACGGGCCGAGACUAAUUCACAUUCUUUUUCAAUGUCUGUGGCAUCAGAUCCUGAGAUUUAUAAUGAGAAAUACAAGAGAAUGUAUGCUGUUUAGAAUUCUGUGAGGGAAAUUUUGGAAUUUGGGUAGUAGUCAAGAUGUCCAUAUCUGGACUGAGACCGUCUCAACUGACUCACCUGGGACAAGAAGGUCACGAGGCUAGUUAACAACUAUCGUUGUCCUUCCUAUGCAAUGAUGAAAUUAUAGGUGUCAGAAUGGCCGGGAUGUGUGAUGGGUCAAAACAGGUUCGUGUCACAGUGUGCCAUUUAUUCUAUGAUCUAAAAUGGUUCAGGUGUUGUUUGAGCCCCAAACAUUUUCUCUAGACAAUUUUCUUGUAACUAAUUAGUCUGUAAAAUAUUGCCACAACUUUCUGUUAUUUUCAUUCUAAUGUAGUUUUUCAAAGAUGAUUUUGGAGGUUUUAUGCACUAAAUACACUGGUUGAAUUUUGACCCGUUUGUAUUA
Erigeron canadensis is the source of this 2596-nucleotide RNA transcript. It is a transcript of the gene named ankyrin repeat-containing protein At5g02620-like, with no coding region annotated. Lineage: Eukaryota; Viridiplantae; Streptophyta; Magnoliopsida; Asterales; Asteraceae. The transcript is spliced from 4 exons. The record is from RefSeq and is a predicted model, not a curated record.